UGGGAGAUGAUCAAGGAAAAAGAUGUGAGC
This 30-nucleotide non-coding RNA is filed under the name Homo sapiens (human). Lineage: Eukaryota; Metazoa; Chordata; Mammalia; Primates; Hominidae. The record is from RNAcentral.